This 497-nucleotide ribosomal RNA is filed under the name uncultured bacterium. RNAcentral's name for it is "partial 16S ribosomal RNA". It matches the Rfam family "Bacterial small subunit ribosomal RNA", at positions 28 to 507 of the family's 1533-position model. The record is from RNAcentral.
GAUGAACGCUGGCGGCGUGCCUAAUACAUGCAAGUCGAGCGAACGGACGAGAAGCUUGCUUCUCUGAUGUUAGCGGCGGACGGGUGAGUAACACGUGGAUAACCUACCUAUAAGACUGGGAUAACUUCGGGAAACCGGAGCUAAUACCGGAUAAUAUUUUGAACCGCAUGGUUCAAAAGUGAAAGACGGUCUUGCUGUCACUUAUAGAUGGAUCAGCGCUGCAUUAGCUAGUUGGUAAGGUAACGGCUUACCAAGGCAACGAUGCAUAGCCGACCUGAGAGGGUGAUCGGCCACACUGGAACUGAGACACGGUCCAGACUCCUACGGGAGGCAGCAGUAGGGAAUCUUCCGCAAUGGGCGAAAGCCUGACGGAGCAACGCCGCGUGAGUGAUGAAGGUCUUCGGAUCGUAAAACUCCGUUAUUAGGGAAGAACAUAUGUGUAAGUAACUGUGCACAUCUUGACGGUACCUAAUCAGAAAGCCACGGCUAACUACGUG